UUCCACAGCCUCCUAGAUUAGAACCUCAGGAACCAAAUUCUGCCACCAGCACAACGAUUGCAGUUUAUUGGAGCAUGAACAAGGAAGAUGUCAUUGAUUCAUUUCAGGUUUACUGCAUGGAGGAUCCACAAGAUGAUCAAGAAGUAAAUGAGUUGGUAGAAGAAUACAGACUGACGGUGAAAGAAAGCUACUGCAUUUUUGAAGAUCUGGAACCUGACCAAUGCUAUAAAGUGUGGGUGAUGGCUGUGAACUUCACUGGAUGUAGCCUGCCCAGUGAAAGGGCAAUCUUUAGGACAGCACCCUCCACUCCUGUGAUCCACGCUGAGGACUGUACUGUGUGUUGGAACACAGCCACUAUCCGAUGGCGGCCCACCACCCCAGAGGCCACGGAGACCUACACUCUGGAGUACUGCAGACAGCACUCUCCUGAGGGAGAGGGCCUCAGGUAAGGGGCCCUCUCCAUGGGAGAGACUGCCCAGAGCCAAGUAACCAAGCUCUGGGCCCUAAACUACCCUCUAGCUUCUGCUCACCAAGGGAGAAAUGCAGCCUAAAAUCCUGCUGAGCUAAUGAAGCCACUGACUUGAUUUGCAGCUCUAUCACAGUUCAUCAACGAACUCCAAGUUUGUAAUAAAACACAGGCUACAAUACAGAAUAA
Molecule: small RNA, 655 nt
Filed under: Pongo abelii (Sumatran orangutan)
Lineage: Eukaryota; Metazoa; Chordata; Mammalia; Primates; Hominidae
Description: processed transcript
Source: RNAcentral